Gallus gallus (chicken) is the source of this 697-nucleotide long non-coding RNA. Lineage: Eukaryota; Metazoa; Chordata; Aves; Galliformes; Phasianidae. The record is from Ensembl.
AUAUUUUUUGGAUAUUUGAGCGCGUUUGUGUGUUAUAGAGAGGCGUUAAAUCCUGAGCGCUUCCCUCGGCAGAGCCUACUUUCGCUGUGUUUUGAAAACGGAGUGAGCAAUGGCACUCUUACUGUAAAGGAAGAAAAAGAAGAAGGGGUUCGGGGAAGCGGCCACAGCUCCUGCGAGCAGCGCACGUCUCCGUGCAGUUUUGCCUGCUUGCUGCUCUAACCCUGCCCGGCGUAAGGGCUCGCCCGUCUCCUCGUUGGCUCGGGGCGCGCCUCGGCCGGAGGGAGCCUCGGAAGGAGGGCUUCUUGUACUGAAGAACUGGACAAGUCCGCUCGCACAGUAUGCGUGUGUCAUUUGUUAUUUUUAAAUACAAUAGCCUAUUAUUUCACGUCGUUGUCUCCGGGAGAUGGUGGCGGCCCCCCAUUUCAUGAGAGAAAGGAGAAAGCGUUCCCAGCCCAUUGUGUGGUUAUGUCACAGGAAACUGUUUGUGCUGCGCAUUGUGUUGCAUCUCCAAAUCCCACCAAGUUCCACUUCGCUCUGCUUCAAAAGUUGCUGGGGCCGGUGUCACGGCAAUUGGGUAACCGGCAUUGUCCGGGCGAUGGGCGGGCGCGACUCUCCGGGCCGCGGGGAGCAUUCCUGAGGCAGGGAAAUCUCCGUGCCAGCGCGGUUUGCGCUGCUUUGCCCUUCCCGAGUGACACGC